This 336-nucleotide long non-coding RNA is filed under the name Oryctolagus cuniculus (rabbit). Its description in RNAcentral is "lncRNA (ENSOCUG00000030225.1)". The record is from RNAcentral. Lineage: Eukaryota; Metazoa; Chordata; Mammalia; Lagomorpha; Leporidae.
UCUGUGGGUUGCGCUGGCCCUGAGACAUAGGUGCAAGGCCUCUUCACCCAGGAAGGGAGGAGGAAUUUCUCCUGUUCUAGCAGAGAGAGGACACCGUGGCCAUGCACUCACACACACAAGUCUGACCUGGAGCAGAGGCCACUUACCGCGGGCGUGGAACAGAUGCUGCUCGGAGCCUGGGGACAAGGUCAGCCAACCCAGAUCCAGCACUUUGAGUCUCCCUGGGUCUCCAACUGCCCAUCCAUCUCUUUUGGCUGGGAGCCCGGGGGUCCAGGGUAUCCUCAGUGAGAUCUCCUGACCCUGUGGUCACUCAUUGCCAAACCCUGUCCCUGCUGA